RNAcentral lists this non-coding RNA (30 nucleotides) under Mus musculus (house mouse). RNAcentral also lists the same sequence under 1 other name. The record is from RNAcentral. Lineage: Eukaryota; Metazoa; Chordata; Mammalia; Rodentia; Muridae.
UGCCUAGGGCUCUGGCAUGGUCAUUUCUUU